AACCAGCUCUUCAAGUGGUCGGGAUAAUUAUUGGGCUUAAAGUGUCCGUAGCCGGUUUAGUAAGUUCCUGGUAAAAUCGGGUAGCUUAACUAUCUGCAUGCUAGGAAUACUGCUAUACUAGAGGGUGGGAGAGGUCUGAGGUACUAUAGGGGUAGGGGUGAAAUCUUAUAAUCCUUGUAGGACCACCAGUGGCGAAGGCGUCAGACUGGAACACGCCUGACGGUGAGGGACGAAAGCCGGGGGAGCGAACCGGAUUAGAUACCCGGGUAGUCCUGGCUGUAAACGAUGCAUACUAGGUGAUAGCACGGCCGUGAGCCAUGUCAGUGCCGUAGGGAACCGUUAAGUGUGCCGCCUGGGAAGUACGGUCGCAAGGCUAAAACUUAAAGGAAUUGGCGGGGGAGCACCACAAGGGGUGAAGCCUGCGGUUC
This 428-nucleotide ribosomal RNA is filed under the name uncultured archaeon. RNAcentral describes it as "bacterial SSU rRNA". It matches the Rfam family "Archaeal small subunit ribosomal RNA", at positions 474 to 903 of the family's 1478-position model. The record is from RNAcentral.